RNAcentral lists this ribosomal RNA (2911 nucleotides) under Enterococcus faecium Aus0085. Its description in RNAcentral is "bacterial LSU rRNA". It matches the Rfam family "Bacterial large subunit ribosomal RNA". Lineage: Bacteria; Bacillati; Bacillota; Bacilli; Lactobacillales; Enterococcaceae. The record is from RNAcentral.
UUAAGUGAAUAAGGGCGCACGGUGGAUGCCUUGGCACUAGGAGCCGAUGAAGGACGGGACUAACACCGAUAUGCUUUGGGGAGCUGUACGUAAGCUAUGAUCCAGAGAUUUCCGAAUGGGGGAACCCAGCAUCUUUAAUAGGAUGUUACGAUUGUGUGAAUACAUAGCACAUUCGAGGUAGACGCAGAGAACUGAAACAUCUAAGUACCUGCAGGAAGAGAAAGAAAAUUCGAUUCCCUGAGUAGCGGCGAGCGAAACGGGAAAAGCCCAAACCAGCAAGCUUGCUUGUUGGGGUUGUAGGACUCCAAUAUGGUAGUUCUUUCAGAUAGUCGAAUGACUUGGAAAAGUCAGUCAAAGAGGGUAAAAACCCCGUAGACGAAAUGUGGAAGACACCUAGGAGGAUCCUGAGUACGGCGGAACACGAGAAAUUCCGUCGGAAUCCGGGAGGACCAUCUCCCAAGGCUAAAUACUCCCUAGUGACCGAUAGUGAACCAGUACCGUGAGGGAAAGGUGAAAAGCACCCCGGAAGGGGAGUGAAAUAGAACCUGAAACCGUGUGCCUACAACAAGUCAAAGCCCGUUAAUGGGUGAUGGCGUGCCUUUUGUAGAAUGAACCGGCGAGUUACGAUUGCAUGCGAGGUUAAGUUGAAGAGACGGAGCCGCAGCGAAAGCGAGUCUGAAUAGGGCGUUUGAGUAUGUAGUCGUAGACCCGAAACCAUGUGAUCUACCCAUGUCCAGGUUGAAGGUGCGGUAAAACGCACUGGAGGACCGAACCCACGUACGUUGAAAAGUGCGGGGAUGAGGUGUGGGUAGCGGAGAAAUUCCAAACGAACUUGGAGAUAGCUGGUUCUCUCCGAAAUAGCUUUAGGGCUAGCCUCGGAAUUGAGAAUGAUGGAGGUAGAGCACUGUUUGGACUAGGGGCCCAUCUCGGGUUACCGAAUUCAGAUAAACUCCGAAUGCCAUUCAUUCAUAUCCGGGAGUCAGACUGUGAGUGAUAAGAUCCAUAGUCGAAAGGGAAACAGCCCAGACCACCAGCUAAGGUCCCAAAAUAUAUGUUAAGUGGAAAAGGAUGUGGGGUUGCACAGACAACUAGGAUGUUGGCUUAGAAGCAGCCACCAUUUAAAGAGUGCGUAAUAGCUCACUAGUCGAGUGACCCUGCGCCGAAAAUGUACCGGGGCUAAACAUAUUACCGAAGCUGUGGAGUACACCUUUAGGUGUAUUGGUAGGAGAGCGUUCUAAGGGCGUUGAAGGCAGAUCGUGAGGACUGCUGGAGCGCUUAGAAGUGAGAAUGCCGGUAUGAGUAGCGAAAGACAGGUGAGAAUCCUGUCCACCGAAUGACUAAGGUUUCCUGGGGAAGGCUCGUCCGCCCAGGGUUAGUCGGGACCUAAGCCGAGGCCGACAGGCGUAGGCGAUGGAUAACAGGUUGAUAUUCCUGUACCCGUUGUUUUUGUUUGAGCAAUGGAGGGACGCAGGAGGCUAAGGAAUGCAGACGAUCGGAAAUGUCUGUCCAAGCAGUAAGUCUGAAGAGGAGUCAAAUGCUUCUUUUCUUAAGGACAAGCUGUGAUGGGGAGGGAAAUAAUAGUACCGAAGUUCCUGAUGUCACACUGCCGAGAAAAGCUUCUAGUGAGAAAACAGCGGCCCGUACCGCAAACCGACACAGGUAGUCGAGGAGAGAAUCCUAAGGUGAGCGAGAGAACUCUCGUUAAGGAACUCGGCAAAAUGACCCCGUAACUUCGGGAGAAGGGGUGCUGAUCAUACGAUCAGCCGCAGUGAAUAGGCCCAAGCGACUGUUUAUCAAAAACACAGGUCUCUGCAAAAUCGUAAGAUGAAGUAUAGGGGCUGACGCCUGCCCGGUGCUGGAAGGUUAAGAGGAGUGCUUAGCGCAAGCGAAGGUACGAAUUGAAGCCCCAGUAAACGGCGGCCGUAACUAUAACGGUCCUAAGGUAGCGAAAUUCCUUGUCGGGUAAGUUCCGACCCGCACGAAAGGCGUAACGAUUUGGGCACUGUCUCAACGAGAGACUCGGUGAAAUUUUAGUACCUGUGAAGAUGCAGGUUACCCGCGACAGGACGGAAAGACCCCAUGGAGCUUUACUGUAGUUUGAUAUUGAGUGUCUGUACCGCAUGUACAGGAUAGGUAGGAGCCGUAGAAAUCGGAACGCUAGUUUCGAUGGAGGCGCUGGUGGGAUACUACCCCUGCGUUAUGGCCACUCUAACCCGCACCACUAAUCGUGGUGGGAGACAGUGUCAGAUGGGCAGUUUGAUGGGGCGGUCGCCUCCUAAAAGGUAACGGAGGCGCCCAAAGGUUCCUCAGAAUGGUUGGAAAUCAUUCGAAGAGUGUAAAGGCAGAAGGGAGCUUGACUGCGAGACCAACAAGUCGAGCAGGGACGAAAGUCGGGCUUAGUGAUCCGGUGGUUCCGCAUGGAAGGGCCAUCGCUCAACGGAUAAAAGCUACCCUGGGGAUAACAGGCUUAUCUCCCCCAAGAGUCCACAUCGACGGGGAGGUUUGGCACCUCGAUGUCGGCUCGUCGCAUCCUGGGGCUGUAGUCGGUCCCAAGGGUUGGGCUGUUCGCCCAUUAAAGCGGCACGCGAGCUGGGUUCAGAACGUCGUGAGACAGUUCGGUCCCUAUCCGUCGCGGGCGUUGGAAAUUUGAGAGGAGCUGUCCUUAGUACGAGAGGACCGGGAUGGACUUACCGCUGGUGUACCAGUUGUUCUGCCAAGGGCAUUGCUGGGUAGCUAUGUAGGGAAGGGAUAAACGCUGAAAGCAUCUAAGUGUGAAGCCCACCUCAAGAUGAGAUUUCCCAUUUCUUUAAGAAAGUAAGAUCCCUGAGAGAUGAUCAGGUAGAUAGGUCAGGAGUGGAAGUACAGUGAUGUAUGGAGCGGACUGAUACUAAUCGAUCGAGGACUUAACCAA